Long non-coding RNA from Dromaius novaehollandiae (emu), 1057 nucleotides. RefSeq lists it as uncharacterized. The record is from RefSeq and is a predicted model, not a curated record. Lineage: Eukaryota; Metazoa; Chordata; Aves; Casuariiformes; Dromaiidae. The transcript has 4 exons.
GCGCUGCUCGGGAUAACCCGCCCGCCGCCCUGCGCGCGGGGCUGCCUCGCCUCCCGAAACGACAGUGUCCCCCGCGCCCGGAGCUCGCUGCCCGCACGCAGAGCUCAGGCACCACGCAGACCUCCAUCUGCUUAGGAUCAUAAACCCACAAGUCCUUCCUGAAGACAGGGAUCCAAAGAUGUCCUGUCACAGAACUGAGCAGAAUGGCGAUUUGGGUCGAAAACCUCUGCUGGCAGACUCCACCUGCAGAGCUAGUCUGGAGAAAGGCUUUGCCAGCCUGGGCCCUGGAUGCAAAGCCUAACACUGCACACCCGCGUGGAUGGGCGCCAGCAUUCCCUGAAGUUCCAGCUGCUGCUUGAGCCUCCGCGAGCGCCUGGACAUCUCACAUGACAUGCUUGUGCUGCCUUUCUCCUACACACUCGCACUUAUGAAGCUCUACCUACACAGUUUGAUUCACCAGGAUGAGGUGGCCUUAUUUACAUGGUUAAUUCUGACAACCUGAACAGUACAAUAGAAGGCACACUACAGCUUUUACUGCCUCUGCCCCCUGAAGAGAAUUAAGGAGAAAAUGCAGACACAGAGAAAUCUACACAAAAGAAAAGUUAACAUGAAUUACGCAAACAGGAAAAAAAAAAGUAGAUGCUUUCCCCUGGGAAACCUGAACUUAUUAUAUUUGUAUGCAUAUAAUCAAAGUAAGUAUUUUCAAAAGAGAUUACUAAAUCAGCUUGGUAAGGUAUCUAUUUUGUACUAUAAAAAAUUCUGUAACAUUUUGGGGGAAAAGUAUGCUUUUAAUUAUUGCAUAAAUAGAAAGGAAAAAGAACAUUUGUUCUGUUAAUUUCCCUGAAUUCAGCAAAUAUAUGAUCACUUCUGUUUCUUCUAUUUAAAUAGUUUUCUUCUUCAGUCUAGACAGUUAUGGAUUUGUUGUUGAAUUUUUUAAGAGAUGGUUUGCAAGACCUGUUUAUAUGAGUGAAACAACACUGUACUUUAAUUUUUUAUGUAUGUUGAGUCUAAAUAUGUAUUAUAUUUAUCAUUUACAAUAAAUCGAUACUGUGGAGGA